Molecule: long non-coding RNA, 312 nt
Organism: Arabidopsis thaliana (thale cress)
Lineage: Eukaryota; Viridiplantae; Streptophyta; Magnoliopsida; Brassicales; Brassicaceae
Product: other RNA
Exons: 1
Source: RefSeq
AAGAUUCUCGACAUCCCCAUCAAAUUGUUGAAUGUAACAUCCCUGUAGAUCUGAACCCGAAAACUUCAAGAUUCAGCAACAAGAAAGAAAGAAAGAAAAAAUCUAAAGAACCAAGAUUGAAUCAAUGAUUAUGUGUACCUGUGAAAAUGUGAGAGAUGCUGUUUCUUGCUUUUCUUUUUUUGGCACAGAAGUGAAGAGACAAAGCGUUCUUUAGGUUUCUAGACAAAGCGUUAUUUAUGUUUCUAACCAACACUUUUGUUCUGCUUUCCCACCUUCAGACUCGGAGCAACAGCUGCCGCCUACACAGCAGUU